UACGUAGGGGGCAAGCGUUGUCCGGAAUCAUUGGGCGUAAAGAGCGCGUAGGCGGCCCUGUAAGUCCGCUGUGAAAGUCAAGGGCUCAACCCUUGAAUGCCGGUGGAUACUGCAGAGCUUGAGUGCCGGAGAGGGUGGCGGAAUUCCCCAAGUAGAGGUGAAAUUCGUAGAUAUGGGGAGGAACACCGGUGGCGAAGGCGGCCACCUGGACGGUAACUGACGCUGAGACGCGAAAGCGUGGGGAGCAAACAGG
Molecule: ribosomal RNA, 253 nt
Filed under: uncultured bacterium
Lineage: Bacteria
Description: partial 16S ribosomal RNA
Rfam family: Bacterial small subunit ribosomal RNA
Source: RNAcentral